GUGCUGUAAAAGGCCAAAAUGAGCGCCUUAGACACGCUACGCCAAGCCUGGAGAAGGAGAAGGGAGCGACUUGAACCCUCAAGCUUCUGGCACCUUGCAUGAGGAAAAUAUAAGGUCCUAAGGGCUUCUGAACCCCAAGCAGGUCAGCCCAGAAUGGCUUCAGCCAACAUGCCCCAUGGAAGGGAAGACAUGGUACAAAACCAUUGUGUAAAGAACAAUCAGAUUAAUUAUAAUUGGCAUCUGGUCAAUCGCCUGGAGAAUCCCAUGGACAGAAGAGCCUGGCAGGCUGUACAGUUCAUGGGGUCACAAGAGUCGGACAUG
This is a long non-coding RNA of Odocoileus virginianus texanus, 321 nucleotides long. RefSeq lists it as uncharacterized. The record is from RefSeq and is a predicted model, not a curated record. Lineage: Eukaryota; Metazoa; Chordata; Mammalia; Artiodactyla; Cervidae.